Molecule: long non-coding RNA, 591 nt
Organism: Danaus plexippus (monarch butterfly)
Lineage: Eukaryota; Metazoa; Arthropoda; Insecta; Lepidoptera; Nymphalidae
Exons: 3
Source: RefSeq, a predicted model, not a curated record
GGAUCUUCUGUGAAGAAAGUGACUUUGUUAAUAAAUAUCAAAAAUAUUUAUUCGUUGCACACAAACGAUGAUUAUUGAGAAUCUUGAGCCACUAAUACUUUAGUGUUGAUGUGUCGCAACCGUGAUGUUAAAUAGUAGCUCAUACAUAUUAUAAAGAGAUCGGAAAAAAUCACGAUAAAAGUUGCUUGAAAAUGGAUCAACUGAAAAAAAUCUUAAGUUUAUUUUUUUAAUUCAGAAUUACUUUAUAUGAACAGAAAAUGUUAUGUUCCCACCUGCACCAUUACUCCAAGCAGUGGAGAAAAAGCUCACUUGCUUUUACAAAAGCAAACAAUAAUGAAAGGACGUACUCAACUAAAAUAUAAAUAAUAAAGUAUAAUAACUAUUUAACAAAGAUUUAUAAAGUGAUAAAUAGGUGAAUGGAAACUCGACCUUUCUGGUGUAAAAAAUCAUAACGAGCUAAGAUGGUGGAUCGUUAUCCUCCUAGCGAGCAAUUAAUAUUUUGCUAAUAAAAAAUAUUUUUUCAAAGUAAUACAUGUUGUAAGAUAGCUUGAAUCUUUAAUCCUAUAGUUUUUAUCAUAAAACAGUUUUUUU